CUGCAUUUUAUCCUUAAAAAUUUUAUUUUUUCUUGUCGAUGGAACUAGUUUCCAAUUGUCGUACAUUAUAGGAAAAUCUUUAAACUUCCUAGCAAUUUCAUCCAAAAAACCGCCUAACAAACCAACAGUUGAUCCUACCGGUUGCCCAUUUGAAUUCCAUCUAGUUAUUAUUCUACUAACAUUAGGAGGAGCUUCAAGCACGUCUGAUACCCAUAAGUGUGUCUUUGAA
This 229-nucleotide long non-coding RNA is filed under the name Cicer arietinum (chickpea). RNAcentral's name for it is "long non-coding RNA (CARI_LNC002296)". Lineage: Eukaryota; Viridiplantae; Streptophyta; Magnoliopsida; Fabales; Fabaceae. The record is from RNAcentral.